This 1889-nucleotide long non-coding RNA is filed under the name Mytilus galloprovincialis (Mediterranean mussel). The record is from RNAcentral. Lineage: Eukaryota; Metazoa; Mollusca; Bivalvia; Mytilida; Mytilidae.
AAAAAUAAUUACAGUCUAAUUUUUACUAAUUGAUGUUAAAUGAGAAUUGAUUGGAUACAGAUAUAAAACCAUCAUUGCGCGACAAAAUUAGUAUUAACCAAUCAUUAACAGGAAGUAUAUUGAUACACGCCUGGCUAUACUGACAAGAUUAGCCAGGACCCAAGGCUAGGUGGAUACCAUAUUAAGAUCCAACUCAUAUGGCACUUGUAAAUAAAAUGUGUUAGUUAAAAUAUUUAUACACUAUAAAUUCAGAAAUGUUUGCAAGCAUUUAUCAUUGUGAUCCUUGUGAGACUAAUAAAUGCAAUUUCUAGAAAUGAAACAUUCAAAAAAUGCUAAAAAAGUUUUAAAUGCAAAUCUUUAUUUUUAGGAAACUUUCCUGUCAAUGCCUAUUGCAAUUUUAGCAAUAAUUAUAACUUCUCAAAUAUUUCUAAAUUUACAGUAUCGAGAUUUUGUAAACAAAGGUCGAUAAAUAUCAUAUCAGCUAAAUUUAUUCUAGAUUAUAACAAUAUACAUGAUAUACUGGCAGUGUUGUGUCAAAAUUUUUAUACCACUCGGUUAUUGUCAUGGUAAUGAAACAAAAGACUAGACAAUUGUUAUCUAGCAUUGCAUGCAGACCAAUAGCAAGUUCAGUUCAUCCCCUGAUUAUCCAGUCAAGGAUACUACAAACUAUGUUUAUUUAUUGGAUGAUGUAAGUUAUAUUUACUUUGCAGAAUUAAAUUUUUUAAGAUUUAAAUUUUUAUUUCAAGAUUUGAAUGAUCUCCCCUUAAUCUUCUCAGAAAUAUACUGAACACGGAUCAUAUGUUGAGUAGCUGUACAUGCUAUUCAAAUAGUACACUUUCAGGGUUGGUAAAUGAGCAGUAGUAAUUUGAAGAUCUAUAAGAAUUUCAUUGUCCAUAAAAUUAUACUUUACUGAAUUAGAAAGACGAUGGGUUAUUUUGAAAUAAGGAUUGCAAUACUGUUUAAACAUAAAUUUUCAUGGGGUUAAAAUUUCGUUGUUUUGUAUCCAAAAGUAAGUUUGUGGGGAUUAAUUUUUUGUGUUUUUAAGCUGAGGAAGAAUUGUGUAAAUGUCACUUUAUUAUUGAUAUCAAUGAUUGUGUAAUAAAUGUAUUAUUAGACACUGAUUGACUGGUCUUGAUCAUUAUUCAUUACUGUACAAACAAAAGAUUAGGCUUAUCAUCUGAAGGAAAGAAAACGUUUUAAUAUUGCUGUCUUAUCAAUUAACCUAUUCUUUUCAUUGUAUAAAUGAUGUCAAUAUGAUUUUGUCUGAUUAUUAAAUAAUGUGAAUUUUUACAUAUUUUGAAUUCAGAUUUGGUAAAUCUACAGUUAAAUUUUUGUUGGGGUUUUAAUUCUUAUCCACGAAAUAAACGACAUUAAAUCAUCAAUGAAAAUUUCUGCUUUUACAGUAUUUACAUUCAAUAGCAAUUCAGUGGAAACUUCUUUUCAAGUCGAUCAUUAAAAAUAUCAUUCAAUUUGGCACCAAUCUAAUCAAAUUUAACAUACAUAGAAAAAUAUGGCACCAAAUUAUCCUCCUUUAACAUAUACAAUGUAUAUAACAUUUACAAACUAUUAGUCAAUCUGAUCGAAACACAGAGCAUGUGUUCAUGCUUCACACCACAGCUUCUACGAGUCACAGCAAAGAUAGCUACAAGAUAACUAGAAGGUAAAAUAACAUUUGACAUUGAGAUAUGUCUUGCCCUUUUGUAAUUUAUAUUUUUUCAUAUCGGUUUAGAAUAAGCUUAUCUUAUUGGAUAAUAAGGGGCCACAUAAUAUUCUUUAUUCUUCAGUAAUAAGUUCCAUCGGUCAUUAACAGAACAAAAUGGACCGGAAAACAGGUUGUUAACAGACUUUUACAUGAUAAUGACCGGUGGGGCAUGGUUUGUCUGUUUGAG